AAAGGUCUUGCACUUUGGUUGUAAUGGGGCUAGGGUACGUACAGGUGGGAUAAAACAAGAAAAAGGGGAUCAAAGAGGCUCAAUAUAUGAUUGAAAACAUGCAACACACCAGACCUUCCAUCAAUAAAACUCUAGAGUAACUCCUCAACAUAUCCACAAUCCUCUAAACGUAUGCAUUUUAUUAUAGAACUCUAUUUUUCUUUUUUCUUUUUUUUUUUUUAUUUUUUUGUUUUCUAAUUUUUUUUUAACAGCAUAUAUAUCCCAUAGAAUCAAUGAACUAUCUCUCAACACACUAAAAUUAUAGGAGUACUCAUCUUCUCAUCUCG
RNAcentral lists this long non-coding RNA (326 nucleotides) under Salvia miltiorrhiza (redroot sage). RNAcentral describes it as "long non-coding RNA (SMIL_LNC004159)". Lineage: Eukaryota; Viridiplantae; Streptophyta; Magnoliopsida; Lamiales; Lamiaceae. The record is from RNAcentral.